Molecule: ribosomal RNA, 497 nt
Filed under: uncultured bacterium
Lineage: Bacteria
Description: partial 16S ribosomal RNA
Rfam family: Bacterial small subunit ribosomal RNA
Source: RNAcentral
GAUGAACGCUGGCGGCGUGCCUAAUACAUGCAAGUCGAGCGAACAGACGAGGAGCUUGCUCCUCUGACGUUAGCGGCGGACGGGUGAGUAACACGUGGAUAACCUACCUAUAAGACUGGGAUGACUUCGGGAAACCGGAGCUAAUACCGGAUAAUAUAUUGAACCGCAUGGUUCAAUAGUUAAAGACGGUUUUGCUGUCACUUAUAGAUGGAUCCGCGCCGCAUUAGCUAGUUGGUAAGGUAACGGCUUACCAAGGCAACGAUGCGUAGCCGACCUGAGAGGGUGAUCAGCCACACUGGAACUGAGACACGGUCCAGACUCCUACGGGAGGCAGCAGUAGGGAAUAUUCCGCAAUGGGCGCAAGCCUGACGGAGCAACGCCGCGUGAGUGAUGAAGGUCUUCGGAUCGUAAAACUCUGUUAUUAGGGAAGAAAAAAUGUGUAAGUAACUAUGCACGUCUUGACGGUACCUAAACAGAAAGCCACGGCUAACUACGUG